AGCGUACGCUGGCGGCAGGCUUAACACAUGCAAGUCGAGCGGGCAUAGCAAUAUGUCAGCGGCAGACGGGUGAGUAACGCGUGGGAACGUACCUUUUGGUUCGGAACAACUGAGGGAAACUUCAGCUAAUACCGGAUAAGCCCUUACGGGGAAAGAUUUAUCGCCGAAAGAUCGGCCCGCGUCUGAUUAGCUAGUUGGUGAGGUAAUGGCUCACCAAGGCGACGAUCAGUAGCUGGUCUGAGAGGAUGAUCAGCCACAUUGGGACUGAGACACGGCCCAAACUCCUACGGGAGGCAGCAGUGGGGAAUAUUGGACAAUGGGCGCAAGCCUGAUCCAGCCAUGCCGCGUGAGUGAUGAAGGCCCUAGGGUUGUAAAGCUCUUUUGUGCGGGAAGAUAAUGACGGUACCGCAAGAAUAAGCCCCGGCUAACUUCGUG
RNAcentral lists this ribosomal RNA (435 nucleotides) under uncultured bacterium. Its description in RNAcentral is "partial 16S ribosomal RNA". It matches the Rfam family "Bacterial small subunit ribosomal RNA", at positions 29 to 507 of the family's 1533-position model. The record is from RNAcentral.